This is a long non-coding RNA of Acanthopagrus latus (yellowfin seabream), 1132 nucleotides long. RefSeq lists it as uncharacterized. The record is from RefSeq and is a predicted model, not a curated record. Lineage: Eukaryota; Metazoa; Chordata; Actinopteri; Spariformes; Sparidae. The transcript has 3 exons.
CCUGAAGCUAAACUACUUUUAGCUAAUUUAGCUAACCUAAUCUGACGUGUUUGAGAGCCGUUAACAUUAAUUCACGCGAGCUGACCUUCCCAGGCCUUGGAAGGCAGCCGAUGUUCCUCCACUGAUAAACAUUAUAUCUGAGAAGCCACGGGGUCAGGGCGAGUUGAAUCCCAUGUCAGGAUUGUCCCCAUGUUGACCUGCGCCUGACUGGCCUCCCAGCAAAAAGCCCCUGUGAAGGCAGAAGGCAGAGACGCUGAUCCGAAGGUGAAAAACAUCCUCCUCCUCUCCCCCAGCUGAACAUCUGUCUCGGCGGCGUUGGCUGCAGCACCGACUCUGACACCUCCAGAUGGAGAGCCCGCUGGGAGCGCUGAGGUAUUACCAACAGAGAUGGCAGGGAUCACACCUCUGGAAUGAAGUCCCACGCUUGUUUUUCCGCACCGUCCCCUUUUUUUUGUUGUUGAAUCUGUCACUUUUCACCACAUAUAUCGUCACCUCAACAGUCCUUGGCCUUGUGACUCAUCUGAAGCUUUUGGCUUGCAAAGGAAAUGCAUGACAACAAAACCUCUCAACCCUUUUCUAAUUUACAGUAAUGGGCCGUAUGGUAUUUCAACUGUAACGUCUAUUAGUGGAACUGUAUUAAUUUUUAAUAUAGUUGUGGGAGAACUGCAUACUCAUGCGGAUAUAUUUCACAUGAUUGCUGAUGUCCAUUUCCUGGAAACAUAGUUUUUCCUGAAUUCAUAUCAGUUUGCACAAACCAGAACUAAAUGACUGACUGGCUUAUAAUCUCUUCAGUCUAAAUUUUAAGUGCAAUACCUGAAAAAAUCUUAAGUAUGGGAGGCCGGGAGUUGACUUCUGCGAGCCACUCUGGUGUCUUGACAGAUUGACUCUGCAUUCAUUUGUGCCUGAACUCUGAGUGAACCUCAGCUUUAGGAAAAAGGGCACCAACAGGCCGGUGCUGCUGGGGCAGAAACUGUGUGCACAAACCUGACACCCAGUGCAAAUAUUGAAACUGCUGCCCCUUCACCAUGACACGAAACUAGGUGGUCAGGUCCGGCAAACGUUUAGCUUGAGCCCGAAUGAGUGCGAAAAGGUCAAAUAACCAACUAAGUUCCUGUGAUUUUUUUUUUUUUUU